CCCUACCACCCUGAACACGCCGAGCUUGUCUGAUCUCGGAAGCUAAACAGGGUCAGGCCUGGUUAGUACUUGGAUCAGAGAAAUGAUUAAAAAAAAUUAAACAAAAAUCAGAACAAACCAGGAUGGGU
RNAcentral lists this ribosomal RNA (128 nucleotides) under Jaculus jaculus (lesser Egyptian jerboa). The record is from RNAcentral. Lineage: Eukaryota; Metazoa; Chordata; Mammalia; Rodentia; Dipodidae.